CCUACGGGCGGCAGCAGUAGGGAAUAUUGCUCAAUGGGGGAAACCCUGAUGCAGCAACGCCGCGUGGGGGAUGAAGGUUUUCGGCUUGUAAACUCCUUUUGUUAGAGAAGAUGCUGACGGUAUCUAACCAAUAAGCACCGGCUAACUCCGUGCCAGCAGCCGCGGUAAUACGGAGGGUGCAAGCGUUACUCGGGAUCACGGGGCGUAAAGAGGGCGUAGGCGGGAUAGCAAGUCAGAUGUGAAAUCCUCGGGCUUAACCAUAGAACUGCAUUUGAAACUGGUAUUCUAGAGUAUGGGAGGGGUAGGUGGAAUUCUUGGUGUAGGGGUAAAAUCCGUAGAGAUCAAGAGGAAUAC
This 354-nucleotide ribosomal RNA is filed under the name uncultured bacterium. RNAcentral's name for it is "partial 16S ribosomal RNA". It matches the Rfam family "Bacterial small subunit ribosomal RNA", at positions 338 to 709 of the family's 1533-position model. The record is from RNAcentral.